RNA transcript from Syzygium oleosum, 1678 nucleotides. RefSeq lists it as uncharacterized. The transcript has 7 exons. NCBI's taxonomy places the organism in Eukaryota, Viridiplantae, Streptophyta, Magnoliopsida, Myrtales, Myrtaceae. The record is from RefSeq and is a predicted model, not a curated record.
GAUUGAGCUCCGCCGCCGCCGCCGCCGCAGCCGCCGCCGCAGCCGCCGCAGCCGCUACGCUUUCCCGCGAGACACCGCUGAUGCUCGGGGUACUGUGCGCGCGCCCCAAGCCUUGGAUCGUCGCCUCCUGCUUCUCCCACGCCUCCGCGGCCCACCACUGCAGCCGUCUGCCCUGGGCCUCCGCCGUCCGCCUCCAGCUCGCCGCCCUCACCGCCGCCGCCGCCGACUCCCCCGACCGCCGGCGCCACCACUCCAGCUCGUGCCGCCUCGGCUCCGGCGGCGGCUCCUCCCCCUGCGGCGCCCACCCCGGCGGGGUCGCCUCGAUAUGGCACGCGAUCCUCCCGUCCGGGGAGGGCGACUCCCGGCGGACGAUGGAUCCCCGGCGGCCGGUGUUCCGCGGGGAGGGGUCGUGGAACGUGGCCUGGGACGCGAGGCCCGCCCGGUGGCUGCACAGGCCGGACUCCGCCUGGCUCCUGUUCGGCGUCUGCGCCUGCCUCGCGCCGGUUGACGCGGCCGAUUUGAACCGCGAGGAGAUCGUUCCGGAGGAGAGGGUCGAGGAUUGCGAUUCCUCGGACGAGGCGAAGCGGAACUCUCCUGAUUACAGAGUGACAGGGGUGCUGGCGGAUGGUCGAUGCCUAUUCAGAGCAAUAGCUCAUUGCGCGUGCUUGAGAAAGGGAGAAGCAGCUCCAGAUGACAAUCGUCAGAGAGAGCUCGCUGAUGAAUUGAGAGCUCAAGUUGUGGAUGAGCUCUUAAAGAGGCGGGAAGAAACAGAGUGGGCCAUUGAAGGAGACUUCGAUGCAUAUAUUGAGAGGAUCCAACAACCUUAUGUAUGGGGCGGAGAACCAGAGUUGCUGAUGGCUUCUCAUGUCCUGAAGACAUUAAUCUCGGUCUUCAUGGUGGAUAGAAGCUCUGGCAGUCUGGUCAAUAUUGCAAAGUACGGCGAAGAGUAUAGGAAGGAUGAAGAGAGUCCUAUCAACGUCCUGUUUCAUGGGUAUGGUCACUACGACAUACUGGAGUCAUUCGCCGGUCAAAGCUAUUAGAUAGCAUGCGUGUAGAAUUCGAGUAAGAAACUUCCAAUGACAAUCCAGUUUUGUUAGAUGAGUUAUCUUGUGAAGUAACAGCUGCCUUAUCACAUUAUGGGGACUCACCAAAGGUGGUAAAGUGGUUCUCUUUCAUGAGAUCAUAGAUUUGAGCUGCGUCCUAACGGGAUGGAUAGACGGGAUAUGAAUUUUUUACCUAUGUCAUUUUUUGGGGACGUUGAUCGGGGGAUGAAAGCCCGAAUUACAUUAAGUAUGACACAUGCAUGAGGCAAAGUUCUUGCUGCUCUUAUCCCUCAUGAGUGUCGGCUUUAAACCGGACGAGGGAUCGGGGCCUGAAAAGUCUAAGAGGCUCGGUGUUGAAAGCACGGUCGGACCCGUGAGCAGAGGAAGGAGACAAGAAAUUAGCAGAACCUCUGCAGUUUCUCGAGCUAUUUCCCUGAUCAAACGGUCAGCACAAACGAGGACAAGCAUGUUCGGCCCAACAAUAGCACCAGUUUCUGCAAUUGGGCUCCAUCUUUCCCAGCCUCCCCUUCUUUGUGCUAUUUGACAUUUAACAAUCCAAACAUCGGUCCGAAUAUGCCAAGACAAAUUUGUGGAAUUGAUUUAUGAAACGUGUCAGACUAUUGCUGAAUCUUAAA